GCCAGACUCCUACGGGAGGCAGCAGUGGGGGAUAUUGCACAAUGGGGGGAACCCUGAUGCAGCGACGCCGCGUGGGUGAAGGAGCGUUUCGGCGCGUAAAGCCCUAUCGGCAGGGAAGAAGGAGGACGGUACCUGACUAAGAAGCCCCGGCUAACUACGUGCCAGCAGCCGCGGUAAUACGUAGGGGGCAAGCGUUAUCCGGAUUUACUGGGUGUAAAGGGGGCGCAGACGGCAGCGCAAGCCAGGAGUGAAAGCCCGGGGCCCAACCCCGGGACUGCUCUUGGAACUGCGCGGCUGGAGUGCAGGAGGGGCAGGCGGAAUUCCUGGUGUAGCGGUGAAAUGCGUAGAUAUCAGGAGGAACACCGGUGGCGAAGGCGGCCUGCUGGACUGCGACCGACGUUGAGGCCCGAAAGCGUGGGGAGCAAACAGGAUUAGAUACCCCAGUAC
RNAcentral lists this ribosomal RNA (447 nucleotides) under uncultured bacterium. Its description in RNAcentral is "partial 16S ribosomal RNA". It matches the Rfam family "Bacterial small subunit ribosomal RNA", at positions 330 to 793 of the family's 1533-position model. The record is from RNAcentral.